UACGUAGGGGGCAAGCGUUGUCCGGAAUUAUUGGGCGUAAAGCGCGCGCAGGCGGCGGUUUAAGUUUGGUGUUUAAGCCCGGGGCUCAACUCCGGUUCGCACUGAAAACUGGAUCGCUUGAGUGCAGGAGAGGGAAGUGGAAUUCCACGUGUAGCGGUGAAAUGCGUAGAGAUGUGGAGGAACACCAGUGGCGAAGGCGGCUCUUUGGUCUGUAACUGACGCUGAGGCGCGAAAGCGUGGGGAUCAAACAGG
Molecule: ribosomal RNA, 252 nt
Filed under: uncultured bacterium
Lineage: Bacteria
Description: partial 16S ribosomal RNA
Rfam family: Bacterial small subunit ribosomal RNA
Source: RNAcentral